RNAcentral lists this ribosomal RNA (1221 nucleotides) under Triticum aestivum (bread wheat). Its description in RNAcentral is "partial small subunit ribosomal RNA". Lineage: Eukaryota; Viridiplantae; Streptophyta; Magnoliopsida; Poales; Poaceae. The record is from RNAcentral.
CCGACGGGGAAUCCUGGGUCCAACGGACUGGCAGCGCUCGCCACCGGGCUAGCGAGGUGCCUCGCCGAGGGGAGCAUGGACGACAACCUAGUCUUCUCGCCGUUGUCCAUCUACACCGCUCUGGCGCUCUUGGCCGCCGGCGCUCGGGACGCCACACUGGACGAGAUCCUCCACGUCCUCGGAGCGCGGUCGCGCGGCGAGCUUGAGAAGUUCGUGUCGCGCAUGGCGGAGGACGCGCUCCAGGACAGGUCCGCCGUGGGCGGCCCUUGCGUGGCGUUCGCGUGCGGCGUGUGGAGCGACCUAACGCGGCCGCUGAAGCCGGCUUUCCGCGAGGCCGUGGUGGGCACGUACAAAGCCGAGGCGAGCACCGUCAACUUCCGCAGCGCGCCGGAGGAAGCGUGUGUCCAGAUCAACGCAUGGGUGGCUCAAGUGACGAGGAACCUCAUCGACUCUGUCCUCCCGGUAGAGUCGAUAAAGCCAGCAACGGCUCUGGUGCUCGGCAACGCCAUAUACUUCAAGGGCAAGUGGGAGGACCAACCGUUCGACCGUAGGCACACCGUGGAUAAGCCCUUCCACCGUCUCGACGGCAGCCAGGUCGAUGUGCCCUUCAUGCAGAGCUGGAAGUCGCAGUUCGUCGCCGUGCACGACGGGUUCAAGGUACUCAAACUCCGGUACAAGAUGGCAACGCCAGAUCACAAGGAGCAACCGCAUCCUCGUCCCGAUCGUACCGGGCAUAUGCAAUUCUCGAUGUGCAUCUUUCUCCCGGACGCCCACGACGGCCUGCUGGGGCUGCUGGACACGGUAGCGUCAAGGCCUGGCUUCUUGCACGACCACCUGCCUGAGCGGCGGAUCGACCUUCGCGAGUUCAGGGUGCCAAAAUUCAAGCUGUCCUUCCACAGCAGCGUCGUCGCCGUCCUCAAGAAGCUAGGGCUGGAGCUGCCAUUCUGCUUAGAGGGCGACCUAUCUGACAUGGUGGAGGAUGACGGCUCUGGCUUGCCGAUAGUAGCGGAGGACGUCAUCCACAAGGCCGUCGUUGAGGUAAAUGAGGAAGGUACCGAAGCCGCCGCCGUCACUAUGGUCAUUGCGCCUUCUGGAUGCGCAGCUGGGGGCUCGUGGCCACCACCUCCACAGGUAGAUUUCAUCGCCGACCAUCCGUUUGCCUACUACAUAGUGGAGGAGGCGACCGGCGCAGUUGUCUUUGCUGGGCACCUCCUCGACCCC